AGUGGAAGCUGCAGAGUCAACCAUGUAGACAAAUGAGAAAAUAUCUUUUGUCUGCAAAAGGCAGCAAUCCUACAUAAACAUGGAGGUCUCUGUCUGACUUAGGACAGCGGGCUAAGUCUGAUCGUUCCCCUCCAUACAAC
This is a non-coding RNA of Microtus ochrogaster (prairie vole), 140 nucleotides long. Ensembl annotates it as small Cajal body-specific RNA 3A. The record is from Ensembl. NCBI's taxonomy places the organism in Eukaryota, Metazoa, Chordata, Mammalia, Rodentia, Cricetidae.